RNAcentral lists this ribosomal RNA (301 nucleotides) under uncultured bacterium. RNAcentral describes it as "partial 16S ribosomal RNA". It matches the Rfam family "Bacterial small subunit ribosomal RNA", at positions 509 to 807 of the family's 1533-position model. The record is from RNAcentral.
CAGUCGCCGCGGUAAUACGAAGGGGGCUAGCGUUGUUCGGAAUUACUGGGCGUAAAGGGCGCGUAGGCGGCCAUUCAAGUUAGAUGUGAAAGCCCUGGGCUCAACCUAGGAAUUGCAUUUGAUACUGUUUGGCUUGAGUUCGGGAGAGGUGAGUGGAAUUCCCAGUGUAGAGGUGAAAUUCGUAGAUAUUGGGAAGAACACCAGUGGCGAAGGCGGCUCACUGGACCGACACUGACGCUGAGGCGCGAAAGCGUGGGGAGCAAACAGGAUUAGAUACCCGGGUAGUCCCUGUCUCUUAUAC